This 404-nucleotide ribosomal RNA is filed under the name uncultured bacterium. RNAcentral describes it as "bacterial SSU rRNA". It matches the Rfam family "Bacterial small subunit ribosomal RNA", at positions 29 to 424 of the family's 1533-position model. The record is from RNAcentral.
AACGAACGCUGGCGGCGCGCCUAAUACAUGCAAGUCGAGCGAGAAGGUGUAGCAAUACACUUGUAAAGCGGCGAACGGGUGAGGAAUGCAUGGGUAACCUACCCUCGAGUGGGGAAUAACUAGCCGAAAGGUUAGCUAAUACCGCAUACGUUUCCGGAACUUCGGUUUCGGAAAGAAAGCAAUACCGUGGGUAUUGCGCUCCUGGAUGGGCUCAUGUCCUAUCAGCUUGUUGGUGAGGUAACGGCUCACCAAGGCUUCGACGGGUAGCUGGUCUGAGAGGACGAUCAGCCACACUGGCACUGCGACACGGGCCAGACUCCUACGGGAGGCAGCAGUAAGGAUAUUGCGCAAUGGACGAAAGUCUGACGCAGCGACGCCGCGUGGGGGAUGAAGGUCUUCGGAUU